Molecule: ribosomal RNA, 464 nt
Filed under: uncultured bacterium
Lineage: Bacteria
Description: partial 16S ribosomal RNA
Rfam family: Bacterial small subunit ribosomal RNA
Source: RNAcentral
CUACGGGUGGCUGCAGUGGGGAAUAUUGCACAAUGGGCGCAAGCCUGAUGCAGCCAUGCCGCGUGUAUGAAGAAGGCCUUCGGGUUGUAAAGUACUUUCAGCGGGGAGGAAGGGAGUAAAGUUAAUACCUUUGCUCAUUGACGUUACCCGCAGAAGAAGCACCGGCGGACUCCGUGCCAGCAGCCGCGGUAAUACGGAGGGUGCAAGCGUUAAUCGGAAUUACUGGGCGUAAAGCGCACGCAGGCGGUUUGUUAAGUCAGAUGUGAAAUCCCCGGGCUCAACCUGGGAACUGCAUCUGAUACUGGCAAGCUUGAGUCUCGUAGAGGGGGGUAGAAUUCCAGGUGUAGCGGUGAAAUGCGUAGAGAUCUGGAGGAAUACCGGUGGCGAAGGCGGCCCCCUGGACGAAGACUGACGCUCAGGUGCGAAAGCGUGGGGAGCAAGCAGGAUUAGAUACCCCGGUAGUC